CACCGCCCCGUCACAUCACGAAAGUGAGCUGUACUAGAAGUCGGUGAGCUAACCGCAAGGAGGCAGCCCGCCCAAGGUACGGCCCCAUGAUUGGGGGUG
RNAcentral lists this ribosomal RNA (99 nucleotides) under uncultured bacterium. RNAcentral's name for it is "partial 16S ribosomal RNA". The record is from RNAcentral.